GACGAACGCUGGCGGCGUGCUUAACACAUGCAAGUCGAACGGAGUGGCGAACGGGUGAGUAACACGUGGGUGACCUGCCCUGCAUUUCGGGACAAGCCUGAGAAAUUGGGCCUAAUACCGGUUAGUGGGGGAGGGGCCCGCGGCCUAUCAGCUUGUGGGUGGGGUAAUGGCCUACCAAGGCGGCGACGGGUAGCCGGCCUGAGAGGGUGGACGGCCACAUUGGGACUGAGAGACGGCCCAGACGCCUACGGGAGGCAGCAGUGGGGAAGAUUGCACAAUGGGCGGAAGCCUGAUGCAGCGACGCCGGGUGGGGGAUGACGGCCUUCGGGUUGUAAACUCCUUUCACCAUCGACGCGGUAGAUGGAGAAGAAGCACCGGCUAACUACGUGCCAGCAGCCGCGGUAAUUC
Molecule: ribosomal RNA, 408 nt
Filed under: uncultured bacterium
Lineage: Bacteria
Description: partial 16S ribosomal RNA
Rfam family: Bacterial small subunit ribosomal RNA
Source: RNAcentral